UGGCUCAGGAUGAACGCUAGCUACAGGCUUAACACAUGCAAGUCGAGGGGCAGCAUUUUAGUUUGCUUGCAAACUGAAGAUGGCGACCGGCGCACGGGUGAGUAACACGUAUCCAACCUGCCGAUAACUCCGGAAUAGCCUUUCGAAAGAAAGAUUAAUACCGGAUAGCAUACGAAUAUCGCAUGAUAUUUUUAUUAAAGAAUUUUGGUUAUCGAUGGGGAUGCGUUCCAUUAGUUUGUUGGCGGGGUAACGGCCCACCAAGACUACGAUGGAUAGGGGUUCUGAGAGGAAGGUCCCCCACAUUGGAACUGAGACACGGUCCAAACUCCUACGGGAGGCAGCAGUGAGGAAUAUUGGUCAAUGGGCGAGAGCCUGAACCAGCCAAGUAGCGUGAAGGAUGAAGGCUCUAUGGGUCGUAAACUUCUUUUAUAUGGGAAUAAAGUUUUCCACGUGUGGAAUUUUGUAUGUACCAUAUGAAUAAGGAUCGGCUAACUCCGUGCCAGCAGCCGCGGUAAUACGGAGGAUCCGAGCGUUAUCCGGAUUUAUUGGGUUUAAAGGGAGCGUAGGUGGAUUGUUAAGUCAGUUGUGAAAGUUUGCGGCUCAACCGUAAAAUUGCAGUUGAAACUGGCAGUCUUGAGUACAGUAGAGGUGGGCGGAAUUCGUGGUGUAGCGGUGAAAUGCUUAGAUAUCACGAAGAACUCCGAUUGCGAAGGCAGCUCACUAGACUGUCACUGACACUGAUGCUCGAAAGUGUGGGUAUCAAACAGGAUUAGAUACCCUGGUAGUCCACACAGUAAACGAUGAAUACUCGCUGUUUGCGAUAUACAGUAAGCGGCCAAGCGAAAGCAUUAAGUAUUCCACCUGGGGAGUACGCCGGCAACGGUGAAACUCAAAGGAAUUGACGGGGGCCCGCACAAGCGGAGGAACAUGUGGUUUAAUUCGAUGAUACGCGAGGAACCUUACCCGGGCUUAAAUUGCAACAGAAUAUAUUGGAAACAGUAUAGCCGUAAGGCUGUUGUGAAGGUGCUGCAUGGUUGUCGUCAGCUCGUGCCGUGAGGUGUCGGCUUAAGUGCCAUAACGAGCGCAACCCUUAUCUUUAGUUACUAACAGGUCAUGCUGAGGACUCUAGAGAGACUGCCGUCGUAAGAUGUGAGGAAGGUGGGGAUGACGUCAAAUCAGCACGGCCCUUACGUCCGGGGCUACACACGUGUUACAAUGGGGGGUACAGAAGGCGGCUACCUGGUGACAGGAUGCUAAUCCCAAAAACCUCUCUCAGUUCGGAUCGAAGUCUGCAACCCGACUUCGUGAAGCUGGAUUCGCUAGUAAUCGCGCAUCAGCCAUGGCGCGGUGAAUACGUUCCCGGGCCUUGUACACACCGCCCGUCAAGCCAUGAAAGCCGGGGGUACCUGAAGUACGUAACCGCAAGGAGCGUCCUAGGGUAAAACUGGUAA
RNAcentral lists this ribosomal RNA (1451 nucleotides) under uncultured organism. RNAcentral describes it as "SSU rRNA". It matches the Rfam family "Bacterial small subunit ribosomal RNA". The record is from RNAcentral.